RNAcentral lists this transfer RNA (64 nucleotides) under Ceruchus chrysomelinus. RNAcentral's name for it is "tRNA-Asn". The record is from RNAcentral. Lineage: Eukaryota; Metazoa; Arthropoda; Insecta; Coleoptera; Lucanidae.
UUAGUUGAAACCAAAAAGAGGUAUGCCACUGUUAAUGACACUAAUGAGAAAUUCUCCAACUAAA